Molecule: ribosomal RNA, 253 nt
Filed under: uncultured bacterium
Lineage: Bacteria
Description: partial 16S ribosomal RNA
Rfam family: Bacterial small subunit ribosomal RNA
Source: RNAcentral
CACGUAGGGCGCGAGCGUUGUCCGGAAUUAUUGGGCGUAAAGCGCGCGCAGGCGGUUCGCUCCGUCCGGUGUGAAAUCUCCCGGCUCACCUGGGAGGGGGCGCUGGAGACUGGCGAACUGGAGGCAGGGAGAGGUCGGUGGAAUUCCCGGUGUAGUGGUGAAAUGCGUAGAGAUCCGGAGGAACCCCAGAGGCGAAGGCGGCGCCCUGGCUCGCAACUGACGCUCAGACACGACAGCAUGGGGAGCGAACGGG